RNAcentral lists this ribosomal RNA (291 nucleotides) under uncultured bacterium. Its description in RNAcentral is "partial 16S ribosomal RNA". It matches the Rfam family "Bacterial small subunit ribosomal RNA", at positions 506 to 796 of the family's 1533-position model. The record is from RNAcentral.
UGCCAGCAGCCGCGGUAAUACGUAGGGUGCGAGCGUUAAUCGGAAUUACUGGGCGUAAAGCGUGCGCAGGCGGUUUUGUAAGUCAGAUGUGAAAUCCCCGAGCUCAACUUGGGAACUGCGUUUGAAACUACAGGACUAGAAUAUGUCAGAGGGGGGUAGAAUUCCACGUGUAGCAGUGAAAUGCGUAGAGAUGUGGAGGAAUACCAAUGGCGAAGGCAGCCCCCUGGGAUAAUAUUGACGCUCAUGCACGAAAGCGUGGGGAGCAAACAGGAUUAGAUACCCUGGUAGUCC